RNAcentral lists this long non-coding RNA (1323 nucleotides) under Urocitellus parryii (Arctic ground squirrel). Its description in RNAcentral is "lncRNA (ENSUPAG00010011883.1)". Lineage: Eukaryota; Metazoa; Chordata; Mammalia; Rodentia; Sciuridae. The record is from RNAcentral.
UUCUUAGUCUGCUAAAUUCCAGGCAAACAUAAUCCUUUCAUGGUUUCAUAGUUUUUCUUGAUCAAUCCUAACCUUAGUCAAAUUAAUUUUUAUGGUGCUGGGGAUCAAACUACAUAAAUUAUUUUUUUUAAACAACAUUUUUAUCCCUUUAUUUAUAUGCAGGAUCGAACCCAGUGCCUCACACAUGUGCUCUGCCACUGAGCUACAACCGUAGCCUCAAAUACAUCAGUGCUUGAUCUCCACCUUCUCUUCUUGUUUACCCAUCUUGUUAUCCAUGGACUGACACAGCAUUUUGGUGUCCUAUGACUCCAGUAUGCUCAUGGCUGAAGUCUGCAAUCAGUGCUUUCUAUCAACUCAGUGGACCAGCUUCUUGCCGCUCACCAGCCUCCACCACCAACACGGGCUCCCAGCUCCUUCUUUUCCCCAAACUUAGAAGUGUUCAUUUUUGCUCCCUGUUUUUUCCAAGUCUCAUCCUUUGCUCUCUGCUGGGCAGAUCAGUUCAUAGCACCCUGGUAAAGCAGUGUUGUGAAGCUGAGAGGGAUCUGGGACAACAGCCAGGUCCCCCAGAAGCAGCAAGCUUUGUAGGGAAUGUGCUCUAGAAGUCACCAUUUCUGAAACUCGGCUGCUGCUGCACAUCUUGGAAGAGGAAUAUGUAGCCAAGCUCAAAGCAAAGGUAUUUGGAGAAUUGAAAUCUUGCAUGCCAGGAGACCUUGAUCCAUAACCUGAGAAGCAGAUCUGGAUCCAGUCAAAUUGAGGUCAAAUUCUGAUCAACUUCUCCACAGUCAGUAGAAGAAAAAAGCAACUUGAUGUCUGAGUCAUAUGUUUGGACACUAAAGAUGACAUUCAAGGGGAUACUUAAAUUCUAGGCAUAGUAAAUAUAUAGUAGAUAGGGGUUGUUGCUUAAGUCAGUGCUUCUCAAGCUUUUAGAUGCACACCAACCCCAGAGGGUGAAGAUGGGGACAUCUGAGUGUCUGCAUUUUUUUGGUACUAGGAUUUGAACCCAGGAGUGCUUAACCACUGAGCAAUAUCCCCAGCCCUUUUUAGUUUUUAUUCUGAGACAGGGUCUUGCUAAAUUGCUUAGGGCCUCACUAAGUUGCUGAGGCCAGUCUCGAACUUGCAACUCUACUGCCUCAGCCUCCCAAGUAGCUGGGAUUACAUGCCUUUAUCACCAUGCCCAGCAGGUGUCUGUGUUUCUAACUUGCUCCAUGCUGAUGCCUAUGGUUCACAGGUCAUAUGUUAAGUAGCAAGACCUUAGAAGAUAGGAUGCAGAUGACCCUCAACUGAUGCUAAAAGAAAUCUGAAAUAAAUUGGGGCUCAGUUGCA